GGUGAGGUUCCCGAGCGGCCAAAGGGGGCAGACUGUAAAUCUGCUGGUUUCACCUUCGAUGGUUCGAAUCCAUCCCUCACCA
This 82-nucleotide transfer RNA is filed under the name Spirochaetes bacterium GWF1_51_8. Its description in RNAcentral is "tRNA-Tyr". It matches the Rfam family "tRNA". From Rfam's summary of the family: Transfer RNA (tRNA) molecules are approximately 80 nucleotides in length. Their secondary structure includes four short double-helical elements and three loops (D, anti-codon, and T loops). The record is from RNAcentral. Lineage: Bacteria; Pseudomonadati; Spirochaetota.